UAAAGCUUAUCCACAGUCUCCAAAGACAACGAAACCUCCCUACCCAGGGUCUCCUGUGAAGUACCGCUUACCUGCCCUUUCUGGCCAAGACAUGCCCAAGAGGAAAGCGGAGAAAGAGAAGAGCAACAAGGAAAGGGAAGGUACCUUGGCUGCUGGCCCGCAAGGAGAGGAAGCCCUAGAGAAGCAUGUAGUGGACAAGCAUGCCAGCGAGAAGCAUGCUGCUGCCGCAGGAGGGAAAGCCGAAAACAGCGCAGCCUUGGGGAAGCCCACAGCAGGCACCACUGAUGCAGGAGAGGCUGCGAAGAUCUUGGCUGAAAAGAGAAGACAGGCCCGGCUGCAGAAGGAACAGGAGGAGCAAGAACGACUGGAGAAGGAAGAACAAGAUAGAAUGUGAAGCUUUGCAUAGUGCCACGUGGGAGGUGAGGAGUGAGGAAGGAAAGUACCAGACAACCUGGGGCUGGAACACAGCGGCCACCUCUUGGAAUAAGAUCAUCCUCACAUCUGUUUUAUGUUUACAGUUAAUAGUUAAAGCCACAGAAAUGUUGCCAGAUAAAAUAAUUUAGAGAAAAAUAAAGUUACUUGAGUCAAA
RNAcentral lists this small RNA (589 nucleotides) under Pan troglodytes (chimpanzee). RNAcentral's name for it is "processed transcript". The record is from RNAcentral. Lineage: Eukaryota; Metazoa; Chordata; Mammalia; Primates; Hominidae.